Long non-coding RNA from Bombyx mori (domestic silkworm), 453 nucleotides. RefSeq lists it as uncharacterized. The transcript has 2 exons. The record is from RefSeq and is a predicted model, not a curated record. Lineage: Eukaryota; Metazoa; Arthropoda; Insecta; Lepidoptera; Bombycidae.
ACACAAUCAAAAUUUCUCAGUCGAUAGUGAAGUAGGUACUUGCUAAUACAGAAAAAUACAUCUACUUGGAAAACAAAUAGGAUUUAACAGCAAAAACAAUGAGUUAUAAGUAGAAUGAAGAAUACAAAACAAUGAUAUUAAUUAAGAAAAUUAGCUGAAUAUUUGGCGUCCCUUUGUGAGUAGAUAAUCUAACCGUCCCUAAAAACUUAAAUAGAAAUGAGUGGGCCAUGUAGCGAGACUGCAAGAUAAAAGAUGGACCAAAACAAUCACUUCGUGGAAUGAUACACGAGGAAAGCUUACAAAGGAAGACCCCCACAUAAGAUAGUAGGAUGACAUCAUACGGACAACUGCCCAAACUAAAUACAGCUCAGAAUAUGGAUAAUUGGUUUUCCUUGGUUAAGGCACUCACCCGAGGAGGUGUUCUUGCAAAUAAUUAAAUAUAAAAGCAAAUAA